RNAcentral lists this ribosomal RNA (425 nucleotides) under uncultured bacterium. RNAcentral's name for it is "bacterial SSU rRNA". It matches the Rfam family "Bacterial small subunit ribosomal RNA", at positions 356 to 773 of the family's 1533-position model. The record is from RNAcentral.
GGGGAAUAUUGGACAAUGGGCGCAAGCCUAAUCCAGCAAUGCCGCGUGGGUGAAGAAGGCCUUCGGGUUGUAAAGCCCUUUUGUACGGAAAGAAAUCCUGUCGGUUAAUACCCGUCGGGGAUGACGGUACCGUAAGAAUAAGCACCGGCUAACUUCGUGCCAGCAGCCGCGGUAAUACGAAGGGUGCAAGCGUUAAUCGGAAUUACUGGGCGUAAAGCGUGCGUAGGUGGUUGUUUAAGUCUGUCGUGAAAGCCCUGGGCUCAACCUGGGAAUGGCGAUGGAUACUGGGCGACUGGAGUGCGGUAGAGGAUGGCGGAAUUCCCGGUGUAGCGGUGAAAUGCGUAGAGAUCGGGAGGAACAUCCGUGGCGAAGGCGGCCAUCUGGACCAGCACUGACACUGAGGCACGAAAGCGUGGGGAGCAAAC